GUGAGUAAAGUGGCGUACGGGUGAGUAACACGUGGAUCAUCUACCCUUGAGUGGGGAAUAACGCUGGGAAACCGGCGCUAAUACCGCAUAAUCCCGAGAGGGCAAAGGAAGCAAUUCCGCUUAAGGAGGAGUCCGCGGCCGAUUAGCUUGUUGGCAGGGUAAAAGCCUACCAAGGCAAUGAUCGGUAGCCGGCCUGAGAGGGCACACGGCCACACUGGCACUGAAACACGGGCCAG
This 236-nucleotide ribosomal RNA is filed under the name uncultured bacterium. Its description in RNAcentral is "partial 16S ribosomal RNA". It matches the Rfam family "Bacterial small subunit ribosomal RNA", at positions 86 to 334 of the family's 1533-position model. The record is from RNAcentral.